Molecule: ribosomal RNA, 274 nt
Filed under: uncultured bacterium
Lineage: Bacteria
Description: partial 16S ribosomal RNA
Rfam family: Archaeal small subunit ribosomal RNA
Source: RNAcentral
AAACCAGCACCUCAGGUGGUCAGGAUGAUUAUUGGGCCUAAAGCAUCCGUAGCCGGCUCUGUAAGUUUUCGGUUAAAUCUGUACGCUUAACGUACAGGCUGCCGGGAAUACUGCAGAGCUAGGGAGUGGGAGAAGUAGACGGUACUCGGGAGGAAGUGGUAAAAUGCUUUGAUCUCUCGAUGACCACCUGUGGCGAAGGCGGUCUACUAGAACACGUCCGACGGUGAGGGAUGAAAGCUGGGGGAGCAAACCGGAUUAGAAACCCGUGUAGUCC